AUUGAACGCUGGCGGCAUGCCUAACACAUGCAAGUCGAACGGCAGCACGGCAGUAGCAAUACUGUGGGUGGCGAGUGGCGGACGGGUGAGGAAUACGUCGGAAUCUGCCCAGUCGUGGGGGAUAACUAGCCGAAAGGUUUAGCUAAUACCGCAUACGACCGAGAGGUGAAAGCGGGGGACCGCAAGGCCUCGCGCGAUUGGAUGAGCCGACGUCGGAUUAGCUAGUUGGUGGGGUAAAGGCCACCAAGGCGACGAUCCGUAGCUGGUCUGAGAGGAUGAUCAGCCACACUGGAACUGAGACACGGUCCAGACUCCUACGGGAGGCAGCAGUGGGGAAUAUUGGACAAUGGGCGCAAGCCUGAGUCCAGCAAUGCCGCGUGUGUGAGGAAGGCCUCGG
This 397-nucleotide ribosomal RNA is filed under the name uncultured bacterium. Its description in RNAcentral is "bacterial SSU rRNA". It matches the Rfam family "Bacterial small subunit ribosomal RNA", at positions 29 to 420 of the family's 1533-position model. The record is from RNAcentral.